This 810-nucleotide long non-coding RNA is filed under the name Coturnix japonica (Japanese quail). RNAcentral describes it as "lncRNA (ENSCJPG00005008224.1)". Lineage: Eukaryota; Metazoa; Chordata; Aves; Galliformes; Phasianidae. The record is from RNAcentral.
CAAUGGAGUCUGAGCACUGUAUGACCCAUGCAGGUUAUGAACGCGCAGUUACUGUCCAGUGCAGCAUCCGUACACCACCUUCAAUAGCUAUUUGUGUAACCUGAAGCCUUGAUCUUGACACACCAGAAGAUAACAGGUAAGAGUUUACAUUCUACACAAGAUAUUUGCGGCUGAAACUUGCUUUAUCUGAUUUUAAUAUCCACUUCCUUUUUCUUUUCUUUUUUUUUUUCUUUUUUCUUUUUUUUUUUUUAAUAGUAUGUACCUGGAUACCAUACAUCUCAGUUGUGCAGCCCUACAUUUGAGAAUGCCUGAAAGGAGACUGUAUUGACUGUUUUUCAGAGCUUUUUACAGGGCAUCACGGACCACUGGAAAGAGAUAUACACAAAGGUAACAUUAACAGACGUUGCCUUGGUGGUGGGAAAUUCUUGAUGAGGAGCAGAGCAGUCAGCAAGAAGAUCUCCUGUCCCUCACAGCUGGGGAAUGAAGGAAGCAAGUCACCAUGUCCAGGUCUUGUGAAUUUACCCUUUAGUUAAUGGUUCUCUGGAAGUUUGUUCAUUUCUUCUCCAUUUGUGAGCCAGCAGACAGGGGAACAGAAUCUGGCUAUGUGUGUGACUUUAAAAGGUACCGCUGAAUUGCAAAGAAAGACAUCUUAUGAUUUGUCUUACUGAGAUGCAUUGGAAACCAGAUUGAAAGUAUAUUUUUGUUUUUCAGGGGCUGUAGCAUUGAGGCAGUACAGACUAGAGCCUGUUAGCCUAUCCUAGUUCCUGUGCGCAGAUGAGCUUGAAUAGUUCUUCCAUGUUGCAUCCAGUU